This 24-nucleotide non-coding RNA is filed under the name Mus musculus (house mouse). Lineage: Eukaryota; Metazoa; Chordata; Mammalia; Rodentia; Muridae. The record is from RNAcentral.
UAGCCUUGCCACACUCACCAACUG